UUUUUAAUGCGAAGAACCUUACCAGGUCUUGACAUCCAGUGCAAACCUAAGAGAUUAGGUGUUCCUUUCGGGGACGCUGAGACAGGUGGUGCAUGGCUGUCGUCAGCUCGUGUCGUGAGAUGUUGGGUUAAGUCCCGCAACGAGCGCAACCCUUGUCAUUAGUUGCCAUCAUUAAGUUGGGCACUCUAAUGAGACUGCCGGUGACAAACCGGAGGAAGGUGGGGAUGACGUCAAGUCAUCAUGCCCCUUAUGACCUGGGCUACACACGUGCUACAAUGGACGGUACAAAGAGAAGCGAACCUGCGAAGGCGAGCGGAUCCCUUAAAGCCGUUCUCAGUUCGGACUGCAGGCUGCAACUCGCCUACAUGAAGUGUGGGAAUCCGGCCUUAGU
Molecule: ribosomal RNA, 391 nt
Filed under: uncultured bacterium
Lineage: Bacteria
Description: bacterial SSU rRNA
Rfam family: Bacterial small subunit ribosomal RNA
Source: RNAcentral